This 254-nucleotide ribosomal RNA is filed under the name uncultured bacterium. RNAcentral describes it as "partial 16S ribosomal RNA". It matches the Rfam family "Bacterial small subunit ribosomal RNA", at positions 524 to 776 of the family's 1533-position model. The record is from RNAcentral.
UACGUAGGGGCCUAGCGUUGUCCGGAUUUACUGGGCGUAAAGGGCGCGUAGGCGGCCAGUGCAAGUCAGUUGUGAAAUCUCCGGGCUUAACUCGGAAAGGUCAACUGAUACUGCUCGGCUAGAGUGCGGAAGGGGCAACUGGAAUUCUUGGUGUAGCGGUGAAAUGCGUAGAUAUCAAGAGGAACACCUGCGGCGAAGGCGGGUUGCUGGGCCGACACUGACGCUGAUGCGCGAAAGCGUGGGGAGCGAACAGG